GAUGUCAUUUUUGCCUUAAUUUGAUGUCAUCCAUCAUUUUUAUAAUUUUUUUUGAAAUUUUCAUUUUUUAUUAUUUUAUUAUUUUUAUUUAAAAUUAAUUCCCUAAACCGAUAUAUGCCGAUUUACACUAAUUUAGGACUACCCAGCACAUGAAUAUAACAAGAACCAAGCUCAAAUCGACCGUUUCAAGAUCGAAACUUGGUUUGUGCAUUUCGUCAAACAUUUGGCGUGCAUCAAAUCAUCCCAAACCAGUUUCCUCGGGCCAUGUUUGUGGCCUUCAAUCUCAACGCAUGAGCAAUAUUAUGUGGAACUAAAACAUCAAGGUUAAACUAUCACAUGCAAGGAGUAAGAUUAGAUAGAAAUCACAGCUUAAAACACACGAAAACCAAGCUGGAAUCGGCCUCAAAUAUGUGGGUUGAGCUGAUUUUGAAAUCUGGGUUUGAACCAAAGUCAAGUAAACAGGUUGCAUGCCCAUAUUCAAGCCUCAACACUCAUCGUAUACGAGAUCUAAAGGAAACAUUACUUGAUCCGAGUAAAAGUAGGUAACAUGAUCUUUCAAAUGCAAUAAACAUCACAGAGAAUGACCCACUGAACAACAUCAAAACGACCUCUCCAAGAAGCACACAUGCAACACUCUUGACACUUAGAAAAAUUUCAACCUCAGAAAUCAGUUUUCCGGGCUGGUUUCCCUCUUGAUUUUCAUGAUCAAAACAUACUCAAAAUCGAAAAUACGUACAUCUAGGAUGCUUACCUUACUUCCUAGUUUCCUUUUCAAGUGGUUCUUGGCCAAGGAAACCGAGAAAUUGUCCUCUGGAAGCACGUGGAAGUUGGCUUCUUCAACUGGAAAUGAGAUCUGCAGAAAAGAAGAACUGACAACGAAGGUUUUUGUUGACCUCUAAAAUUAGACUUUAAGACGUCUUUUGUUGGAAAAAUUGACACCAACCCAAACUAUAUGUAUUGUAGCUUGGGUUAGAAGUCAAUAUUUUUCUCAUUUGUUUCUCAACUUUCUCAAAAACACUGCCUUUUUCCCACUCGUGACCAACUGGGCUCAACACUUAGAAAAAUUUUCAGUGUUUCCUGGCCCGCCUAGAGGGUGUUUUUCGGGGGGCUUUAGGAAGCCUUCCCGAUCUCCAUUUAGGACGUGCGACCUAUGGAUGGAAAGAUAUUUGAGUGAAGUUUCACUCUCUAGUUGAAGGUUUUGGCUAAUUUUGGCCGAAGGGUUGUGAAAAUCUCACUUUUCUCUCAAAAGGUUGAUCUGGAAUUUUCUGGGUUUUUCCUCUGGAGUUGCUUCUGAGGGCCUCUUUGGGGGACGAUUCCGAGCUCUCCCCUCUCCCUCUCGUC
Molecule: long non-coding RNA, 1341 nt
Filed under: Eucalyptus grandis
Lineage: Eukaryota; Viridiplantae; Streptophyta; Magnoliopsida; Myrtales; Myrtaceae
Description: long non-coding RNA (EGRA_LNC000157)
Source: RNAcentral